Molecule: long non-coding RNA, 2763 nt
Organism: Sparus aurata (gilthead seabream)
Lineage: Eukaryota; Metazoa; Chordata; Actinopteri; Spariformes; Sparidae
Source: Ensembl
UUCUCUUGUGAGCACAAACGAGUGAGCAGAUAAUAACAGUAAAGGACCAUGAAGACACGGACAAACAGCAGAGGAUAUGAGGAACGUUAUUGGAAAGGUCGGCACUUGAAGCUGACAGAUUUGAAAGAGGAAGCAAAGGAUUUGGAGAACCAAUAUCUCUUAGAAGAAAACAUCCCAUUAUACCCCCGACCAGAGCUCCAUGUGACUCAACUGAAACACGACACAAAGCAAUAUGGAUUAUGUGGCAUCAGAUGGAAAAAUGGCUUCAAGGGCCCACAUGAAGACUCUCUGCUGUGGUGGAGUCUGGCUGUGACGCCUGAUGACAUCACAUCAGCUGAGAGGAGGCUCCUGGAGACGACCUACCCCGACCGGACGGAGGAGCAGGUCCAGAUGCAGCAGAGCUUCCUGGGGAAGUUUGCCACCUCCCCGUCCUUCUCCGAGCUCUCCAGGCUGGGCUCGUACCGCUUCACCUUCCCCCUGGAGGAGCUGCUGGAGGCCUACAGCCAGCAGUGUUGCUCGGGUGCUCAACCCAUAAUGCGGGUGUACGAGACCGUCCUGUACAAAAAGGAAGUGAUGUACGUUAUACUGGUCCACAGCCCAGCCAAUCAGGAGCUGUUCUCAGACCGUCCUCUGCUGACUGACGACCCAAACUCUAUCUGCUCCUACAGAGAUGGCCGCUUCAUCUGGAGGCCUGAGGCCAUGUGUGGGACACACAGCUAUGAGUUGGUCCUGAGAUCUGAUGAAAAGCGGAUGGAAGUGAGGAAGGAGGUGUUUUACCCUGAGUAUUAUGUUUGGGAUCAUGUUGCUGUUGCCCUUCAUGUGGACAGACAGGUGCUGAAGUUUAAUUCAGCCCGACUGAGACAGAACCUCAAGUACUGCAACGACGCAUGUCCUCCAAUCGUGAAGCCUUGGGAAUUUCAGGACUUCCCACAAGCUGAAGAGUUAGUCAGGGAACUGUGGCCUGACGACUCGUCACCACUGGAGAGAGCUGAGCCGCUAACUUAAGUGUCUGUCAUCUGUACUCAUGAAUAUGUACAGAAGCUACAACAAUAACAACAACUAUGAUAAUGAAAUAUGAAUAUUAAUGAAAAUAAUUAUAAUAUUAAAUUAUCAAGCGGUGAUGAAAGGGCCUCUCAGGCUCUACAGUAUCUGCACGGCCCGAUGUUCUUCCUGGUUUGUACUUUGUUUGCUUUUUCUUUUGUUGCUUCUAUUUUUGGACUUUGGAUUCUGUGCGCUAGUUUUAUGGCUUUGUUUAGUCAAGGUAAAGCUUUUUGUUCUGUACCUUCCUGCAUGUGCGUGAAGUAAAAAAUCAACAGAAAACUUGAAACAAGUUAUGAAGAACUUUUGUCAAAGACACAAGUAAACAGGAAAUUCUUCUCAACUGUGGCAUUAGCUGAAGUUUGGCCAACACAUUUUGUUUCUUCUGGGGGAAGAUGCCUAUAAGAUCCUGGGUCCAGAAGAGCAAACUGUAAAAUCUGACAGUGACAUGACAGCUCAUAUUUAUCUUAAUACAACUCACGAUGUGGCAUGAUGUCACAUAAAUAACAUCAAGGUGAGCCUUCUUAAGGAAUGUGGGUGGAACAGUGUCUUACAAGGUGUUACACAAACAGUGAAGGGCAGAAAGUUUGAUUCCACUGUGUGAGUUAUUUCUUCUGGUAAGUGUUGGAAGAGUUGAGCUGCUGUUGGAGGUUUUGGUUCUUGUCUUUCUCCGGCCUGCAGUGUAACAAAGAACCUAUCAAAGACAGAAGGGUCAUCACAUCACUGGAUCCUGCUUUGUGACAGUUGUUUUGAAGUCUAAUCACUGAUGUUUCCCCUCAAAUGAUUGACAGGGCUGAUAAUAUCAUGACCAAACAGGGCCGGUCCGACCAAAUAUCAUUGAUGAGACUGCAGUUACAUUGUGAACUCGAGUGUUUGAACCUGCUCUCUGAAGAGUGUUCUUUCAUUUCCUUCAUCAGAAUCAUAGAUGUAGAUAUGUUGGGUGUUUCUCCAUCAUCUCCCACAGACUUCAAUACCAACUGGCCUCAAAGAGAGAUUCAGUGAUGUAAUGACCCUUCCUUCUUGUUUAGGUUCCUUCCAGUGAAACAGGAAGUGUUUCUCUGUCUGACAGUCUGAUGGGCUCUCGUCUCACUAAUUUACAUAAAGAGUGAUUAAGAACAUUAAGAUCUACAACUCAGUCUGAUCCGCUCCUUUCCCCUCUGAAGCUGCAGUCUGAUUCAGCUGCAGACAGCUUUACCUGCACUUUUCUUUUUCUUUGUAAUCAUACAAAUAAAGAUUAUGUUGCUGUGGCUCAGGGGUGGAGCCAGCAUCUUGUGAUUGAAGGUCAUUGGUUUGAUUCCCCUAGUCUGCAAGUGGAAGUGUCCUUGGGUAACUGAACCCCAAACUGCUCCUGAUGUGCUGGUCGGCACUUUGCAUGGCAGCCACCACCAUCAGUGUAUGAAUGUAUGAAUUACUGUAAGUCACUUUGGACUAAAGCAUCUGAUAAGUGCCCUAAAAUGUAAAUGUAAAAACGUAAUGCCUCCACAUUUACAGAUGAAUAAAAGCCUCUCGUACAGUCGAUCACUCUGUUCUCUUACUGAGAUGAACUUGGCUCGACUGUUUUAACUGGUUGACAACUCAUCAGAGAGACAUUAGUGUGUGAGGGGAGUAGCAGCCACACCUGAUGUGGACAGGUGAGCAAAUAGAUUUGAGCUGUUCAACAUGACCGUCACACCAUCGCUGAUCUGCUUCUGGUUUAACUGGUCUGACUUUUAUCUUGAAGAGUGU